UACGGAGGGUGCAAACGUUGCUCGGAAUCAUUGGGCGUAAAGCGCACGUAGGCGGUCCGACAAGUCGGAUGUGAAAGCCCUCGGCUUAACCGAGGAAGUGCAUUCGAAACUGUCGGACUUGAAUAUGGAAGAGGGUCGCGGAAUUCCCGGCGUAGAGGUGAAAUUCGUAGAUAUCGGGAGGAACACCAGUGGCGAAGGCGGCGACCUGGGCCAAUAUUGACGCUGAGGUGCGAAAGCGUGGGGAGCAAACAGG
Molecule: ribosomal RNA, 253 nt
Filed under: uncultured bacterium
Lineage: Bacteria
Description: partial 16S ribosomal RNA
Rfam family: Bacterial small subunit ribosomal RNA
Source: RNAcentral